CUGAGGGUGAUGUGAGCAACAUAUCCAAAUUUCGUGAGCAUCCGUUCAGUAGUUUUGGAGUUAUACCGUGUGGAAGUUUGACCGGCUCGCCACGAGGUUGUAGCCAACUCAGAGUUCCAUGAAAUCAGUGUUGCGAGCCAGUCUUUGUUCGGAUGAAAAUUACACAAAAAACCCCACAGAUGUAAUGUAGCUGGUUACAUGAGAGUGCUCCCCUCGUUCGGUAGAUUGAAACUCCCGAACGCCAUUGGUGUACAAUUCGUGGAAAUGGGUCAGACGGGACUUCCAUGGGGACCGGGGAUUGCUGGUGAGCCAUGCCAAAAAUAGUUCCAGGUGCUCAACGCCUAAGUCCUGCUGGCCGGCCGUU
Pelobates cultripes (western spadefoot toad) is the source of this 364-nucleotide non-coding RNA. The record is from the annotation of a GenBank genome assembly. NCBI's taxonomy places the organism in Eukaryota, Metazoa, Chordata, Amphibia, Anura, Pelobatidae.